UUGGUAAAAUAUAUCUAAAAC
RNAcentral lists this non-coding RNA (21 nucleotides) under Caenorhabditis elegans. The record is from RNAcentral. Lineage: Eukaryota; Metazoa; Nematoda; Chromadorea; Rhabditida; Rhabditidae.